Molecule: ribosomal RNA, 468 nt
Filed under: uncultured bacterium
Lineage: Bacteria
Description: partial 16S ribosomal RNA
Rfam family: Bacterial small subunit ribosomal RNA
Source: RNAcentral
GACGAACGCUGGCGGCGUGCUUAACACAUGCAAGUCGAACGGAAAGGCCCUGCUUUUGUGGGGUGCUCGAGUGGCGAACGGGUGAGUAACACGUGAGUAACCUGCCCUUGACUUUGGGAUAACUUCAGGCAACUGGGGCUAUUACCGGAUAGGAGCUCCUGCUGCAUGGUGGGGGUUGGAAAGUUUCGGCGGUUGGGGAUGGACUCGCGGCUUAUCAGCUUGGUGGUUGGGUAGUGGCUUACCAAGGCUUUGACGGGUAGCCGGCCUGCGAGGGUGACCGGCCACAUUGGGACUGAGAUACGGCACAGACUACUACGGGACGCAGCAGUGGGGAAUGUUGCACAAUGGGCGGAAGCCUGAUGCAGCAACGCCGCGUGCGGGAUGACGGCCUUCGGGUUGUAUACCGCUUUCGCCUGUGACGAAGCGUGAGUGACGGUAAUGGGUAAAGAAGCACCGGCUAACUACGUG